CCCUUUGUGAACAUACCUAACUGUUGCUUCGGCGGGUUAGGGGGUCCCCCCGGGGACGCCCUCCCGGCCGCGCCCUCCUCCUCCGGGAGGGGUCGCGGCGCCCGCCGGAGGAUAACCAAACUCUGAUUUAACGACGUUUCUUCUGAGUGGCACAAGCAAAUAAUUAAAACUUUUAACAACGGAUCUCUUGGUUCUGGCAUCGAUGAAGAACGCAGCGAAAUGCGAUAAGUAAUGUGAAUUGCAGAAUUCAGUGAAUCAUCGAAUCUUUGAACGCACAUUGCGCCCGCCAGCAUUCUGGCGGGCAUGCCUGUUCGAGCGUCAUUUCAACCCUCAAGCUUCGCUUGGUGUUGGGGCACUACGGUUGACGUAGGCCCUCAAAAGUAGUGGCGGACCCUCCCGGAGCCUCCUUUGCGUAGUAACUAACGUCUCGCAUCGGGAUCCGGAGGGACUCUUGCCGUAAAACCCCC
RNAcentral lists this ribosomal RNA (467 nucleotides) under Colletotrichum graminicola. RNAcentral's name for it is "eukaryotic LSU rRNA". The stretch from base 168 to 321 matches the Rfam family "5.8S ribosomal RNA". Lineage: Eukaryota; Fungi; Ascomycota; Sordariomycetes; Glomerellales; Glomerellaceae. The record is from RNAcentral.